UGGCUGUCGUCAGCUCGUGUCGUGAGAUGUUGGGUUAAGUCCCGCAACGAGCGCAACCCUCGUCCUUAGUUGCCAGCAUUAAGUUGGGCACUCUAAGGAGACUGCCGGUGUUAAACCGGAGGAAGGCGGGGAUGACGUCAAGUCCUCAUGGCCCUUAUGUCCAGGGCUACACACGUGCUACAAUGGCCGGUACAAAGGGUAGCAAGACCGCGAGGUGGAGCCAACCCCAAAAAGCCGGUCUCAGUUCGGAUUGGAGUCUGCAACUCGACUCCAUGAAGUUGGAAUCGCUAGUAAUCGUGGGUCAGCAUGCCACGGUGAAUACGUUCCCGGGCCUU
RNAcentral lists this ribosomal RNA (335 nucleotides) under uncultured Desulfuromonas sp. RNAcentral's name for it is "bacterial SSU rRNA". It matches the Rfam family "Bacterial small subunit ribosomal RNA", at positions 1046 to 1382 of the family's 1533-position model. Lineage: Bacteria; Pseudomonadati; Thermodesulfobacteriota; Desulfuromonadia; Desulfuromonadales; Desulfuromonadaceae. The record is from RNAcentral.